This 74-nucleotide transfer RNA is filed under the name Sandaracinus amylolyticus. It matches the Rfam family "tRNA". Rfam says of the family: Transfer RNA (tRNA) molecules are approximately 80 nucleotides in length. Their secondary structure includes four short double-helical elements and three loops (D, anti-codon, and T loops). Further hydrogen bonds mediate the characteristic L-shaped molecular structure. tRNAs have two regions of fundamental functional importance: the anti-codon, which is responsible for specific mRNA codon recognition, and the 3' end, to which the tRNAs corresponding amino acid is attached (by aminoacyl-tRNA synthetases). tRNAs cope with the degeneracy of the genetic code in two manners: having more than one tRNA (with a specific anti-codon) for a particular amino acid; and 'wobble' base-pairing, i.e. permitting non-standard base-pairing at the 3rd anti-codon position. RNAcentral also lists the same sequence under 5 other names. Lineage: Bacteria; Pseudomonadati; Myxococcota; Polyangiales; Sandaracinaceae. The record is from Rfam by way of RNAcentral.
GCGCCCGUAGCUCAGCUGGAUAGAGCGUCGGACUUCGAAUCCGCAGGUCGGGUGUUCGAAUCACCCCGGGCGCG